GCCGCAAUCAAGUAAUUCAGAUGGCAGAGCAUGAGACUCUUAAUCUCAAAGUUGUGGGUUCAAGCCCCACAUUGGACA
Podarcis lilfordi (Lilford's wall lizard) is the source of this 78-nucleotide non-coding RNA. Lineage: Eukaryota; Metazoa; Chordata; Lepidosauria; Squamata; Lacertidae. The record is from the annotation of a GenBank genome assembly.